Molecule: long non-coding RNA, 939 nt
Organism: Raphanus sativus (radish)
Lineage: Eukaryota; Viridiplantae; Streptophyta; Magnoliopsida; Brassicales; Brassicaceae
Exons: 2
Source: RefSeq, a predicted model, not a curated record
UGAGUAAAAACCAACUACACCCUAAGCAUCUUUUCUUAUUUACAACAAUGCCAUCAUCUUCAAUUUUGCAACCACCAUUGAACCACCAUGUUUGAGCUCAUAAAAGCUCAAUAACUCAAUUUUAACCACUUUUUCUCUUCUCUAACUCAACAAAUCUUUCAUUUCCUCUACAUUUCUAUCUAAAAAACUCUCACAACUUUCAUUUUCAUCCCACAAAUUUCACAUUUUCGAGUUUCUUCAUUAGUAAAUCGUCAAAGAUGCUUCCUUUUGCUCGGUUUAUGAGUUUGGACGGUUGAAAGGGUCGGAAUCGAGGUUCACACCGGAAAAAGGUAACUGUUUACAUGGUUUUCACCACUUUUUCAGUCUGUGUCGCGAUGGUAGACUGCUUUAUAUGUCUACACCAAUGUGUAGACGUACGAUUCCGUCUAUUUGUCAACGAACAAGUCAGUUUCGCAAUUGACUUUUUUAACUUUUUUUUGGAACGCAGACUUCCCCAGCAGUCUACAUCCUUACCUUUGACUACAAAAACAAAAAUCUACGUAGACCUACCAAGACGGCUACGAAAAAGAGGAAAUGACUCAAUUACCGGCCGUAUACGGAGAAUGGGUGGAGAAAGGCUCAUUGUGGGAGUUUGUGGUCAAUAAAAAAAAGGGAGGGAGAAUGUUCCCUUUGAAAGAUGGUUGUACACAUGUUGAACUUCUUCAAAUGGUACAAGAAGAUUAUGAUCUAGACUAAAAACAUAUUGGUUAAGUGUGUUGAGUGAUUUGUAACACACACUUUCAACGAUUAUUGGGUAACAAUGUUUUUUUUCUUUCAAACAUAUGCAGCGUGGGUUUGAAGUUUUCUUUAAUAAUCGUUGAAAGUGUGUGUUACAAUAUGUUACAAACUAAGACAUUUGUUUGAAAGUGUGUGUUAGUUAACCCUAAUGGGUUUGAGUGA